This 496-nucleotide ribosomal RNA is filed under the name uncultured bacterium. RNAcentral's name for it is "partial 16S ribosomal RNA". It matches the Rfam family "Bacterial small subunit ribosomal RNA", at positions 29 to 507 of the family's 1533-position model. The record is from RNAcentral.
AUGAACGCUGGCGGCGUGCCUAAUCCCUGCAAGUCGAGCGAACAGACGAGGAGCUUGCUCCUCUGACGUUAGCGGCGGACGGGUGAGUAACACGUGGAUAACCUACCUAUAAGACUGGGAUAACUUCGGGAAACCGGAGCUAAUACCGGAUAAUAUAUUGAACCGCAUGGUUCAAUAGUGAAAGACGGUUUUGCUGUCACUUAUAGAUGGAUCCGCGCCGCAUUAGCUAGUUGGUAAGGUAACGGCUUACCAAGGCAACGAUGCGUAGCCGACCUGAGAGGGUGAUCGGCCACACUGGAACUGAGACACGGUCCAGACUCCUACGGGAGGCAGCAGUAGGGAAUCUUCCGCAAUGGGCGAAAGCCUGGCGGAGCAACGCCGCGUGAGUGAUGAAGGUCUUCGGAUCGUAAAACUCUGUUAUUAGGGAAGAACAAAUGUGUAAGUAACUAUGCACGUCUUGACGGUACCUAAUCAGAAAGCCACGGCUAACUACGUG